Molecule: ribosomal RNA, 1404 nt
Filed under: Lactococcus lactis subsp. lactis
Lineage: Bacteria; Bacillati; Bacillota; Bacilli; Lactobacillales; Streptococcaceae
Description: bacterial SSU rRNA
Rfam family: Bacterial small subunit ribosomal RNA
Source: RNAcentral
UGAGCGCUGAAGGUUGGUACUUGUACCGACUGGAUGAGCAGCGAACGGGUGAGUAACGCGUGGGGAAUCUGCCUUUGAGCGGGGGACAACAUUUGGAAACGAAUGCUAAUACCGCAUAAAAACUUUAAACACAAGUUUUAAGUUUGAAAGAUGCAAUUGCAUCACUCAAAGAUGAUCCCGCGUUGUAUUAGCUAGUUGGUGAGGUAAAGGCUCACCAAGGCGAUGAUACAUAGCCGACCUGAGAGGGUGAUCGGCCACAUUGGGACUGAGACACGGCCCAAACUCCUACGGGAGGCAGCAGUAGGGAAUCUUCGGCAAUGGACGAAAGUCUGACCGAGCAACGCCGCGUGAGUGAAGAAGGUUUUCGGAUCGUAAAACUCUGUUGGUAGAGAAGAACGUUGGUGAGAGUGGAAAGCUCAUCAAGUGACGGUAACUACCCAGAAAGGGACGGCUAACUACGUGCCAGCAGCCGCGGUAAUACGUAGGUCCCGAGCGUUGUCCGGAUUUAUUGGGCGUAAAGCGAGCGCAGGUGGUUUAUUAAGUCUGGUGUAAAAGGCAGUGGCUCAACCAUUGUAUGCAUUGGAAACUGGUAGACUUGAGUGCAGGAGAGGAGAGUGGAAUUCCAUGUGUAGCGGUGAAAUGCGUAGAUAUAUGGAGGAACACCGGUGGCGAAAGCGGCUCUCUGGCCUGUAACUGACACUGAGGCUCGAAAGCGUGGGGAGCAAACAGGAUUAGAUACCCUGGUAGUCCACGCCGUAAACGAUGAGUGCUAGAUGUAGGGAGCUAUAAGUUCUCUGUAUCGCAGCUAACGCAAUAAGCACUCCGCCUGGGGAGUACGACCGCAAGGUUGAAACUCAAAGGAAUUGACGGGGGCCCGCACAAGCGGUGGAGCAUGUGGUUUAAUUCGAAGCAACGCGAAGAACCUUACCAGGUCUUGACAUACUCGUGCUAUUCCUAGAGAUAGGAAGUUCCUUCGGGACACGGGAUACAGGUGGUGCAUGGUUGUCGUCAGCUCGUGUCGUGAGAUGUUGGGGUUAAGUCCCGCAACGAGCGCAACCCCUAUUGUUAGUUGCCAUCAUUAAGUUGGGCACUCUAACGAGACUGCCGGUGAUAAACCGGAGGAAGGUGGGGAUGACGUCAAAUCAUCAUGCCCCUUAUGACCUGGGCUACACACGUGCUACAAUGGAUGGUACAACGAGUCGCGAGACAGUGAUGUUUAGCUAAUCUCUUAAAACCAUUCUCAGUUCGGAUUGUAGGCUGCAACUCGCCUACAUGAAGUCGGAAUCGCUAGUAAUCGCGGAUCAGCACGCCGCGGUGAAUACGUUCCCGGGCCUUGUACACACCGCCCGUCACACCACGGGAGUUGGGAGUACCCGAAGUAGGUUGCCUAACCGCAAGGAGGCG